Molecule: long non-coding RNA, 420 nt
Organism: Cylas formicarius (sweet potato weevil)
Lineage: Eukaryota; Metazoa; Arthropoda; Insecta; Coleoptera; Brentidae
Exons: 3
Source: RefSeq, a predicted model, not a curated record
GGCAAGGCCAGCCAAAAUCGAACCUCGCAAAUGCGCGUGAGUCAAAAACCUAUCAACGUUCACUGACAAUCACAUUUUUCACCGCACCAAAACAAAAAUACGCGGUCCUCGAACAAGCUCGAGACGAGAGGAACGUCACGACUCCACAUCUCACUGCGCGCGGGUCAGCGACGGUCUGAAGCGGGCAGACACCACGUUGCGAGCGUGUUGCGUAUAGCUAAGAAAAAGCCAUCGUUGCUGUGAUUUACCAAGAGUCGAACUUCUAGGCAUUGCUGAUUUAUUGUGAAUCCUGGUUAAACGCAAACCAGACAAGUUUGACGUUUCUGUCAGCGAGAAUACCUGCAGCAGGCCUAAAUUAUAGAAAAUCAAAUGUCAGAUCGGAAUCAACUUUCAAAAGUUCGUGGCUUGUGUAAAUUGGUG